AGAGUUUGAUCCUGGCUCAGGAUGAACGCUGGCGGCGUGCUUAACACAUGCAAGUCGAACGAGCCUUCGGGCUAGUGGCGGACGGGUGAGUAACGCGUGGGAAUCUGCCCUCAGGAGGGGGAUAACGGCCGGAAACGGCCGCUAAUACCCCAUAUGCCGAGAGGUGAAACGAAAUUCGCCUGGGGAUGAGCCCGCGUCUGAUUAGCUAGUUGGUGUGGUAAUGGCGCACCAAGGCAUCGAUCAGUAGCUGGUCUGAGAGGAUGAUCAGCCACACUGGGACUGAGACACGGCCCAGACUCCUACGGGAGGCAGCAGUGGGGAAUUUUCCGCAAUGGGCGCAAGCCUGACGGAGCAACGCCGCGUGAGGGACGAAGGCCUCUGGGCUGUAAACCUCUUUUCUCAAGGAAGAAGACAUGACGGUACUUGAGGAAUAAGCCACGGCUAAUUCCGUGCCAGCGGCCGCGGUAAUACGGGAGUGGCAAGCGUUAUCCGGAAUUAUUGGGCGUAAAGCGUCCGCAGGCGGCCUUGAAAGUCUGUUGUUAAAGCGUGGAGCUCAACUCCAUUUCAGCAAUGGAAACUACAAGGCUAGAGUGUGGUAGGGGCAGAGGGAAUUCCCGGUGUAGCGGUGAAAUGCGUAGAUAUCGGGAAGAACACCAGUGGCGAAGGCGCUCUGCUGGGCCAUAACUGACGCUCAUGGACGAAAGCCAGGGGAGCGAAAGGGAUUAGAUACCCCUGUAGUCCUGGCCGUAAACGAUGAACACUAGGUGUCGGGAGAAUUAACCCUUUCGGUGUCGUAGCCAACGCGUUAAGUGUUCCGCCUGGGGAGUACGCACGCAAGUGUGAAACUCAAAGGAAUUGACGGGGGCCCGCACAAGCGGUGGAGUAUGUGGUUUAAUUCGAUGCAACGCGCAGAACCUUACCACCCCUUGACAUGGGUAUCGCGGACUCUGAGAGGAGUCUUUCAGUUCGGCUGGAUACCACACAGGUGCUGCAUGGCUGUCGUCAGCUCGUGUCGUGAGAUGUUGGGUUAAGUCCCGCAACGAGCGCAACCCUCGCUACUAGUUGCCAGCAUUCAGUUGGCCACUCUAGUGGAACCGCCGGUGAUAAGCCGGAGGAAGGUGGGGAUGACGUCAAGUCCUCAUGGCCCUUACGGGGUGGGCUACACACGUGCUACAAUGGCAGUGACAAUGGGUUAAUCCCAAAAAACUGUCUCAGUCCGGAUUGUCGGCUGCAACUCGCCGGCAUGAAGUCGGAAUCGCUAGUAAUCGCGUAACAGCAUGACGCGGUGAAUACGUUCCCGGGCCUUGUACACACCGCCCGACACACCAUGGGAGUUGGGUUUACCCGAAGACGGUGCGCCAACCUUCGGGAGGUAGCCGGCCACGGUAAGCUCAGCGACUGGGGUGAAGUCGGAACAAGGUA
RNAcentral lists this ribosomal RNA (1422 nucleotides) under metagenome. RNAcentral's name for it is "bacterial SSU rRNA". It matches the Rfam family "Bacterial small subunit ribosomal RNA". The record is from RNAcentral.